Molecule: ribosomal RNA, 496 nt
Filed under: uncultured bacterium
Lineage: Bacteria
Description: partial 16S ribosomal RNA
Rfam family: Bacterial small subunit ribosomal RNA
Source: RNAcentral
AUGAACGCUGGCGGCGUGCCUAAUACCUGCCAGUCGCGCGAACAGACGAGGAGCUUGCUCCUCUGACGUUAGCGGCGGACGGGUGAGUAACACGUGGAUAACCUACCUAUAAGACUGGGAUAACUUCGGGAAACCGGAGCUAAUACCGGAUAAUAUAUUGAACCGCAUGGUUCAAUAGUGAAAGACGGUUUUGCUGUCACUUAUAGAUGGAUCCGCGCCGCAUUAGCUAGUUGGUAAGGUAACGGCUUACCAAGGCGACGAUGCGUAGCCGACCUGAGAGGGUGAUCGGCCACACUGGUACUGAGACACGGUCCAGACUCCUACGGGAGGCAGCAGUAGGGAAUCUUCCGCAAAGGGCGAAAGCCUGACGGAGCAACGCCGCGUGAGUGAUGAAGGUCUUCGGAUCGUAAAACUCUGUUAUUAGGGAAGAACAAAUGUGUAAGUAACUAUGCACGUCUUGACGGUACCUAAUCAGAAAGCCACGGCUAACUACGUG